UUUGAACCCCUCUCUUCAUUCAUAUUAGAUCAUUGCUUACCUAGCCAAAUGAUUGAGAUCAAAUGCCCAUUUGUGAGAAUUCACUUUGUGUGUGUGUGUGUGUGAAUCAAUGUGAGAGCUGGUUGAAGGGACUUGCUAGUUGAUGAGUAUUGCAACUUGUGUAGAGGCAUAAGAGUAAGGAUAGGCCUAGAGAAGCUAGAGUAUAAUAAGAGAGUUGCUCAUGCUAU
Molecule: long non-coding RNA, 227 nt
Filed under: Brassica napus (rape)
Lineage: Eukaryota; Viridiplantae; Streptophyta; Magnoliopsida; Brassicales; Brassicaceae
Description: long non-coding RNA (BNAP_LNC017324)
Source: RNAcentral